RNAcentral lists this ribosomal RNA (440 nucleotides) under uncultured bacterium. Its description in RNAcentral is "partial 16S ribosomal RNA". It matches the Rfam family "Bacterial small subunit ribosomal RNA", at positions 338 to 795 of the family's 1533-position model. The record is from RNAcentral.
ACUACGGGGGGCAGCAGUGGGGAAUAUUGCACAAUGGGGGAAACCCUGAUGCAGCGACGCCGCGUGAGUGAAGAAGGAUUUCGGUAUGGAAAGCUCUAUCAGCAGGGAAGAGAAUGACGGUACCUGACUAAGAAGCCCCGGCUAACUACGUGCCAGCAGCCGCGGUAAUACGUAGGGGGCAAGCGUUAUCCGGAUUUACUGGGUGUAAAGGGGGCGUAGGUGGCAGGGCAAGUCAGAUGUGAAAGCCCGGGGCUCCACCCCGGUACUGCAUUUGAAACUGUCCAGCUGGAGUGCAGGAGAGGUAAGCGGAAUUCCUAGUGUAGCGGUGAAAUGCGUAGAUAUUAGGCGGAACACCAGUGGCGAAGGCGGCUUACUGGACUGUAUCUGACACUGAGGCACGAAAGCGUGGGGAGCAAACAGGAUUAGAUACCCGAGUAGUC